This 253-nucleotide ribosomal RNA is filed under the name uncultured bacterium. RNAcentral's name for it is "partial 16S ribosomal RNA". It matches the Rfam family "Bacterial small subunit ribosomal RNA", at positions 524 to 776 of the family's 1533-position model. The record is from RNAcentral.
UACGAAGGGUGCAAGCGUUACUCGGAAUUACUGGGCGUAAAGCGUGCGUAGGCGGUUUGUUAAGUCUGUUGUGAAAGCCCCGGGCUCAACCUGGGAAUGGCAAUGGAAACUGGCGAGCUAGAGUACGGUAGAGGAGAGUGGAAUUCCCGGUGUAGCAGUGAAAUGCGUAGAGAUCGGGAGGAACAUCAGUUGCGAAGGCGGCUCACUGGACCGGUAUUGACGCUGAGGUGCGAAAGCGUGGGGAGCAAACAGG